Molecule: long non-coding RNA, 549 nt
Organism: Cercocebus atys (sooty mangabey)
Lineage: Eukaryota; Metazoa; Chordata; Mammalia; Primates; Cercopithecidae
Exons: 3
Source: RefSeq, a predicted model, not a curated record
AAUGCCUCCUACUAGAAAUCUGAUUGCCCACAUUAUGUCUAGAGGCCUAAACCAUUUGCAGUGCCACCUCCUGAAAUGGGACAUAGCUAUUUAACUGAAAUGAUCUCGCCUCAAAACCAAGAGACUGCCUAAAGAAGAUAUGGAUGUCCAGCAAGAAUCGUCAUGGGAAACUAUGAGAUGAGGAGACUUGUGACUAAGGGAGAGUAAGACCAGAGUCAAGAAUCCUGGUGUCUAAGGGCAGAAACACCUGAGGCUGGGGGUUUGAGAUGUCUGAGAGCUUGACAAUACCCUACAGCCUCCCACACGGUGCUCAUCAAGACUCAAGCCAAAAUUUUACUUCAUCAAAGUUUUGCAUGUGGAAGAAGAGGAGAAUUGGGGAAUACCUGAGCUGUCACUGAGCACUUCCUCACCAUACAAGAUCCCCACCAAGUUCUCACUGCGAAUGCUGUGAAUAGUCUCUUCAUGCUCCUAGCAGAAGGUGGAGAAAAGUCCAGAACAUUCUGGUCCUCCCUCCCUCAAGGGAAAUUACAAGGGCUUAACUGAAGUGAG